Molecule: ribosomal RNA, 571 nt
Filed under: uncultured fungus
Lineage: Eukaryota; Fungi
Description: eukaryotic LSU rRNA
Rfam family: Eukaryotic large subunit ribosomal RNA (bases 299-571)
Source: RNAcentral
UGAAAUGUGAUAAGUAAUGUGAAUUGCAGAAUCUCGUGAAUCAUCGAAUCUUUGAACGCACAUUGCGCCCAAUGGUAUUCCAUUGGGCAUACCUGUUUGAGUAUCAGAAUCCUUUCAAUUAUCAAACUUUUACAUAUAGAGAUAUAUGUAAAGAUGUUUGGAAUACAAUUGAGAAAAGUAGUAUUCUUUAUAGUAUUGCUUUCUUAAAAACCAGAAAUACUAUGUUUUGAUUUUUCUUCACCUCAUUUUGUAUAUUAUUUAACAAAUGAGUACGAGUAAAAAUAUACAAUACUUUGGAUGACCUCAAAUCAGGUAGGGAUACCCGCUGAACUUAAGCAUAUCAAUAAGCGGAGGAAAAGAAACCAACAGGGAUUGCCUUAGUAACGGCGAGUGAAGCGGCAAAAGCUCAGAUUUGAAAUCUGGUGUCAAAUUGAUACCCGAGUUGUAAUCUGUAGAGGAGUUUUUCGGAGUAUGGCUUUGGUUAAAGUUCCUUGGAAAAGGGCAUCAUAGAGGGUGAGAAUCCUGUUUAUGACCUGUGUCUGUCUCCAUUAUGAAUCUCCUUCAAUGAGUC